AUUAAGUGCAUCCAUGAGUUUCCGCGUCCAACUUUGAUCGUCCGUCUUAUUUAAAAUUAUUUAUAAUUAGUAUUUUUGUUGUUAUAAGAUGAUAAAACAUGAAUAGUACUUUACUCGUGACUAUUUUUUUAAAUUUUUUUAAUUUUUUUUAAAUAAGACGAAUGAUUAAAGUUGGACGCGGAAAAUUAUGGCUAUAGUUAUU
This is a non-coding RNA of Oryza glumipatula, 202 nucleotides long. The record is from Rfam. NCBI's taxonomy places the organism in Eukaryota, Viridiplantae, Streptophyta, Magnoliopsida, Poales, Poaceae.